GGAGAGGUGGCUGAGUGGUUGAAAGCGCCGGUCUUGAAAACCGGUAGGGGCUAAGAGGCCUCUCGUGGGUUCGAAUCCCACCCUCUCCGCCA
This 92-nucleotide transfer RNA is filed under the name Bacillota bacterium. Its description in RNAcentral is "Firmicutes bacterium (sediment metagenome) tRNA-Ser". It matches the Rfam family "tRNA". From Rfam's summary of the family: Transfer RNA (tRNA) molecules are approximately 80 nucleotides in length. The record is from RNAcentral. Lineage: Bacteria; Bacillati; Bacillota.